ACGGAGGAUCCGAGCGUUAUCCGGAUUUAUUGGGUUUAAAGGGUGCGUAGGCUGGUUUUUAAGUCAGCUGUGAAAUACCGACGCUUACCGUCGGCACUGCAGUUGAAACUGGGAACCUUGAGAGUGCAAGAGGCAUGCGGAAUUCAUGGUGUAGCGGUGAAAUGCAUAGAUAUCAUGAAGAACCCCGAUUGCGAAAGCAGCAUGCUGGGGCAUAUCUGACGCUGAGUCACGAAAGUGCGGGUAUCAAACAG
This 251-nucleotide ribosomal RNA is filed under the name uncultured prokaryote. Its description in RNAcentral is "partial 16S ribosomal RNA". It matches the Rfam family "Bacterial small subunit ribosomal RNA", at positions 525 to 775 of the family's 1533-position model. The record is from RNAcentral.